GGCAUCCUCUCCUUGUGUCAACAUCAGAAGCGAAUGGGCAAAAAAAGCGACCAAUUAUUCGUGUGAGCAUGGGCUGAUUCAGCAAACAAUCUUACUGUCCACUGCUGCAUCAAAAGCUACCCGUAAGAAGAUUUAGCAUCAUGGUAUGGAGUCCACCAGAUUCAGAUCCUAAUAGUAAUUGAACAAUUCAAUCUCAAUCCUGCCCAGUUCCUUCAAACCAAAGGGAACAAUUCUGCAAUCCUAAACCCAAAAGAGCACCAAUAUUAGUACACACACACACACACACACACAUUUUCAUAGUGCAUACCAAAUUCACAACAACUUUCAUUUUCUUAAUACUACUAAGAUGCAGGGACACACUAAUUAGUUCAUCACCGGUUAAUAGCUAAAGGAGGGAGAAGAAUAGAGAUCAAGUGUUGUAGAGAGGAAAAGAGUGAGCGCACCUGAGGUGGUGAAGAUCAGGUUGAUGGUGGCCACAUCAGCGAUUGGGAGCGGGAGGAGGGAGAUCGGCACCCUUGCCCUUCGCUGAAUCCCAUCGCUACCUCUUCGCAGCAGCAACGAACAUCCCGAACCUCCUGC
RNAcentral lists this long non-coding RNA (579 nucleotides) under Triticum aestivum (bread wheat). RNAcentral's name for it is "long non-coding RNA (TAES_LNC014918)". Lineage: Eukaryota; Viridiplantae; Streptophyta; Magnoliopsida; Poales; Poaceae. The record is from RNAcentral.